UGUGGAUACUUAAACUUAGCAUUUAUCAUGCACCUUUGUGAAUAAUUAUGUUUUAAUUUUUAGUGAAAAUUGUUUAAGGAUUGCUACUUUCAAUAUUUCGGCAGCCGCCGAAGGCUGUAAUAUAAAAAUUGGAUAACUUUCUUCUUAUGUGUUCGUGUCUAACAAAUAAAACUAAGAACGUCUUCAAAAAGCGGUUUAAAAUACAUUUCUAUAAUUUUCCAUCCAAACUUAACAUACCGCUUUAUACAUAUAAUGAUCAGGCUUUACUUUAAUUAUAGGGCGUCGUAGCCUAUUCUUGCCUUAAGGAACCAAAUUUCACGCUUUAGGCAGUAUUAGUUAAGGUUGUUUUUUUAAUGAAUCUAGAGAUUUAGAAAAACUAAACAAUAGUUAGUUUCACAUAGGUUGCUUUCCGCAAUAUACAGUUGAACUUAAUAUAGACCGAUAGAAAGUGAAUUAUAAUAAAUUUGCUUUAAAAGCAUUUUGCACAAGGAAUUCCUAUUUUUUCUUGGUAUUUAACUGUAUUUCCUACGUACUACGUUAACAUGUUUUCCCAUUUAACUGUAGUUUGUCAUCAUAGUGAUUCGCAUGUCGAGAUCGUUAAAUAAACUUUCGAA
Non-coding RNA from Schizosaccharomyces pombe (fission yeast), 614 nucleotides. Lineage: Eukaryota; Fungi; Ascomycota; Schizosaccharomycetes; Schizosaccharomycetales; Schizosaccharomycetaceae. The record is from the annotation of a GenBank genome assembly.